This 262-nucleotide ribosomal RNA is filed under the name uncultured bacterium. RNAcentral's name for it is "partial 16S ribosomal RNA". It matches the Rfam family "Bacterial small subunit ribosomal RNA", at positions 556 to 793 of the family's 1533-position model. The record is from RNAcentral.
GGGCGGUAAAGACGCAUGCAGGUGGGUUUUGGUUUAAGGUUACAGAUGUGAAAGACCCCGGGGCCGUCAACCUACCGGAAGUAAGCAUUUGUAAACUAGGCAGACUAGAGUACUGUAGAGGGGGGUAGGAAUUUCUAGGUGUAGCGGUGAAAUAGCGUAGAGAUCUGAAGGAAUACCGGUGGCGAAGGCGGCCCCCUCGGACAGAUACUGACACUCAGAUGCGAAAGCGUGGGGAGCAAACAGGAUUAGAUACCCCUGGUAG